Molecule: ribosomal RNA, 428 nt
Filed under: uncultured bacterium
Lineage: Bacteria
Description: bacterial SSU rRNA
Rfam family: Bacterial small subunit ribosomal RNA
Source: RNAcentral
GCACGAGAAAGUGGAGCAAUCCAUGAGUAAAGUGGCGCACGGGUGAGUAACACGUGACUAACCUACCCUCGAGUGGGGAAUAACCUAGAGAAAUCUGGGCUAAUACCGCAUAACACUUACGAGUCAAAGCAGCAAUGCGCUUGAGGAGGGGGUCGCGGCCGAUUAGCUAGUUGGCGGGGUAAUGGCCCACCAAGGCGAUGAUCGGUAUCCGGCCUGAGAGGGCGCACGGACACACUGGAACUGAAACACGGUUCAGACUCCUACGGGAGGCAGCAGUGGGGAAUUUUGCGCAAUGGGGGAAACCCUGACGCAGCAACGCCGCGUGGAGGAUGAAAUCCCUUGGGACGUAAACUCCUUUCGACCGGGAAGAUAAUGACGGUAUCGGAAGAAGAAGCACCGGCUAACUUUGUGCCAGCAGCCGCGGUCAU